UUCAGAGAGAAGUUGCUAAGAAGGCUUCUGUUGCAAAUGGCACAAGCUGAAUGUUUCCCAGUGCCAGGCAAUCCCUCACCCAAGACAACUUGUACAGGCCCUUCACAUCCUCUUGGUGCUUUUUCAACACAGCAGCUGUACAGGCUGACUUCUGUCAAUCUGUGUUUUCCAAAGCACCAUCUAUUGAAAAGUCUCUUAUUUCUCCAUUAAAUUUUUUGGCACCUUCAUUGAAAAUCAGUCGAGCAUAAAUGUAAGUAACUAUUUCUGUAUUCUCAAUUCCAUUCCAUUGAUCUGUG
RNAcentral lists this long non-coding RNA (296 nucleotides) under Homo sapiens (human). Its description in RNAcentral is "non-protein coding lnc-DRD5-10:24". The record is from RNAcentral. Lineage: Eukaryota; Metazoa; Chordata; Mammalia; Primates; Hominidae.